AGCUUCGUGCAGAGGCAGUAUCAUAGCCAGUGAGGUUUAGCCACGGUGUGAUUACUGCUAAUUGAAAACUUUUCCCCAUAGCUCACUGUGAUGACUUGUAAUACAGUCAGCAUUAAAAAUAAGAUAAAUAUGACACAUUAC
This is a non-coding RNA of Macaca fascicularis (crab-eating macaque), 141 nucleotides long. The record is from Rfam. NCBI's taxonomy places the organism in Eukaryota, Metazoa, Chordata, Mammalia, Primates, Cercopithecidae.